GACGAACGCUGGCGGCGCGCUUAACACAUGCAAGUCGAACGGAAAGGCCUGCUUUCCCUUGUGGAUUGCGGGUACUCGAGUGGCGAACGGGUGAGUAACACGUGAGUGAUCUGCCCCCAACUUGGGUAUAAGCCUGGGAAACUGGGUCUAAUUCCCGAUAGGACUGCAGGGUGGUGCCUGUGGUGGAAAACGAUUUUCUAGUGGUUGGGGAUGAGCUCGCGGCCUAUCAGCUUGUUGGUGGGGUAAUGGCCUACCAAGGCGGCGACGGGUAGCCGACCUGAGAGGGUGGACGGCCACAGUGGGACUGAGAUACGGCCCAGACUCCUACGGGAGGCAGCAGUGGGGAAUAUUGCACAAUGGGCGGAAGCCUGAUGCAGCGACGCCGCGUGGGGGAUGACGGCCUUCGGGUUGUAAACUCCUUUCGACCGCGAGGAAGCCACCUGGUUGGAAGGGUGGUGACGGUAGUGGUAGAAGAAGCACCGGCUAACUACGUG
Molecule: ribosomal RNA, 494 nt
Filed under: uncultured bacterium
Lineage: Bacteria
Description: partial 16S ribosomal RNA
Rfam family: Bacterial small subunit ribosomal RNA
Source: RNAcentral